RNAcentral lists this ribosomal RNA (778 nucleotides) under uncultured bacterium. RNAcentral describes it as "bacterial SSU rRNA". It matches the Rfam family "Bacterial small subunit ribosomal RNA", at positions 8 to 796 of the family's 1533-position model. The record is from RNAcentral.
AGAGUUUGAUCCUGGCUCAGGACGAACGCUGGCGGCGUGCUUAACACAUGCAAGUCGAACGAAGUAGCAAUACUUAGUGGCGAACGGGUGCGUAACACGUGACUAACUUGCCUUAGACUGUGGAAUAACGGAGGGAAACUUCCGCUAAUACCGCAUGUUGAGCUUGGAUGGCAUCAUCUGGGCUUGAAAGAUUUAUUGGUCUAAGAUAGGGUCGCGGCCUAUUAGCUUGUUGGUGAGGUAAUGGCUCACCAAGGCGACGAUGGGUAGCUGGUCUGAGAGGAUGAUCAGCCACACUGGGACUGAGAUAUGGCCCAGACUCCUACGGGAGGCAGCAGUGAGGAAUAUUGCGCAAUGGACGAAAGUCUGACGCAGCAACGCCGCGUGAAGGAUGAAGGUGCUCUGCAUUGUAAACUUCUGUAGGGAGGGAAGAAUGACCUGCUAUUGGUGGGUUUGACGGUACCUCCAAAGUAAGCACCGGCUAAUUCCGUGCCAGCAGCCGCGGUAAUACGGAAGGUGCAAGCGUUGUCCGGAUUGACUGGGUGUAAAGGGCGCGUAGGCGGAGAUGUGUGUCGGGAGUGAAAUCGUGCGGCUUAACCGUACAAUUGCUUUCGAAACUACAUCCCUUGAGUACAGAAGGGGUUGAUGGAAUACCUGGUGUAGCGGUGGAAUGCGUAGAUAUCAGGUAGAACACCGGAGGCGAAGGCGGUCAACUGGUCUGUAACUGACGCUGAGGCGCGAAAGUGUGGGGAGCAAACAGGAUUAGAUACCCUGGUAGUCC